AAUGGGUCAGCGACUUAUAUUCUGUAGCAAGGUUAACCGAAUAGGGGAGCCGAAGGGAAACCGAGUCUUAACUGGGCGUUAAGUUGCAGGGUAUAGACCCGAAACCCGGUGAUCUAGCCAUGGGCAGGUUGAAGGUUGGGUAACACUAACUGGAGGACCGAACCGACUAAUGUUGAAAAAUUAGCGGAUGACUUGUGGCUGGGGGUGAAAGGCCAAUCAAACCGGGAGAUAGCUGGUUCUCCCCGAAAGCUAUUUAGGUAGCGCCUCGUGAAUUCAUCUCCGGGGGUAGAGCACUGUUUCGGCAAGGGGGUCAUCCCGACUUACCAACCCGAUGCAAACUGCGAAUACCGGAGAAUGUUAUCACGGGAGACACACGGCGGGUGCUAACGUCCGUCGUGAAGAGGGAAACAACCCAGACCGCCAGCUAAGGUCCCAAAGUCAUGGUUAAGUGGGAAACGAUGUGGGAAGGCCCAGACAGCCAGGAUGUUGGCUUAGAAGCAGCCAUCAUUUAAAGAAAGCGUAAUAGCUCACUGGUCGAGUCGGCCUGCGCGGAAGAUGUAACGGGGCUAAACCAUGCACCGAAGCUGCGGCAGCGACGCUUAUGCGUUGUUGGGUAGGGGAGCGUUCUGUAAGCCUGUGAAGGUGUGCUGUGAGGCAUGCUGGAGGUAUCAGAAGUGCGAAUGCUGACAUAAGUAACGAUAAAGCGGGUGAAAAGCCCGCUCGCCGGAAGACCAAGGGUUCCUGUCCAACGUUAAUCGGGGCAGGGUGAGUCGACCCCUAAGGCGAGGCCGAAAGGCGUAGUCGAUGGGAAACAGGUUAAUAUUCCUGUACUUGGUGUUACUGCGAAGGGGGGACGGAGAAGGCUAUGUUGGCCGGGCGACGGUUGUCCCGGUUUAAGCGUGUAGGCUGGUUUUCCAGGCAAAUCCGGAAAAUCAAGGCUGAGGCGUGAUGACGAGGCACUACGGUGCUGAAGCAACAAAUGCCCUGCUUCCAGGAAAAGCCUCUAAGCAUCAGGUAACAUCAAAUCGUACCCCAAACCGACACAGGUGGUCAGGUAGAGAAUACCAAGGCGCUUGAGAGAACUCGGGUGAAGGAACUAGGCAAAAUGGUGCCGUAACUUCGGGAGAAGGCACGCUGAUAUGUAGGUGAAGUCCCUUGCGGAUGGAGCUGAAAUCAGUCGAAGAUACCAGCUGGCUGCAACUGUUUAUUAAAAACACAGCACUGUGCAAACACGAAAGUGGACGUAUACGGUGUGACGCCUGCCCGGUGCCGGAAGGUUAAUUGAUGGGGUCAGCGCAAGCGAAGCUCUUGAUCGAAGCCCCGGUAAACGGCGGCCGUAACUAUAACGGUCCUAAGGUAGCGAAAUUCCUUGUCGGGUAAGUUCCGACCUGCACGAAUGGCGUAAUGAUGGCCAGGCUGUCUCCACCCGAGACUCAGUGAAAUUGAACUCGCUGUGAAGAUGCAGUGUACCCGCGGCAAGACGGAAAGACCCCGUGAACCUUUACUAUAGCUUGACACUGAACAUUGAGCCUUGAUGUGUAGGAUAGGUGGGAGGCUUUGAAGUGUGGACGCCAGUCUGCAUGGAGCCGACCUUGAAAUACCACCCUUUAAUGUUUGAUGUUCUAACGUGGACCCGU
RNAcentral lists this ribosomal RNA (1637 nucleotides) under Escherichia coli. Its description in RNAcentral is "partial 23S ribosomal RNA". It matches the Rfam family "Bacterial large subunit ribosomal RNA", at positions 614 to 2236 of the family's 2925-position model. The record is from RNAcentral. Lineage: Bacteria; Pseudomonadati; Pseudomonadota; Gammaproteobacteria; Enterobacterales; Enterobacteriaceae.